RNAcentral lists this unclassified non-coding RNA (393 nucleotides) under Hevea brasiliensis (rubber tree). The record is from RNAcentral. Lineage: Eukaryota; Viridiplantae; Streptophyta; Magnoliopsida; Malpighiales; Euphorbiaceae.
GAAGUAUGACUCAUCAUCCAUUGAAGGCAAUCUCUGUGGCUGGUGACGAACGAAACCUUGUUCACGAAUAUGAUCACUAGGAGAAUCAUAUUCCACUUUGAGUUUGUGAAAGGAAGGUAGAUUAUGAAGUAGAUGGGAAUCCUGAUAGUCUGAUACACUAUUGGGAUCAUCAAAAGAGAGUUGAUGAUCAAAAAGUGGCUUUUCUGUAGUAGCUGAGUGAUCAGGAAUAUCUGCAUAAAAUGGAUUCUCAUCAUUAUCCUCGGGAAACUUCUCACUAUUUUUCUUCGUGAGCUCACUAAUCCUGGCCUGCGCAAGAGUAGCGGCCGAUCGUGCUGCUGCUGCUGCAUGAUCAGCAGUUUCUGCCGCAGCUUGAGCAGCAGCUAAAACAUCCUG